GGAGGGACAAGCCAAAUGGCGAUGGCAGCUGUUUCGAAAACAGUCGAGCAUGCGUGAGUAUGCCUUGAGGGUUCGAAUCCCUUUCCUUCCG
This 91-nucleotide transfer RNA is filed under the name Fuerstiella sp. RNAcentral's name for it is "tRNA-Ser". It matches the Rfam family "tRNA". Rfam says of the family: Transfer RNA (tRNA) molecules are approximately 80 nucleotides in length. Their secondary structure includes four short double-helical elements and three loops (D, anti-codon, and T loops). Lineage: Bacteria; Pseudomonadati; Planctomycetota; Planctomycetia; Planctomycetales; Planctomycetaceae. The record is from RNAcentral.